CUCUCUGUUUUCUUUACUAUCUCUCUUUGUUGUUUUAAAUUUUAUAUUUUAGAGGGUUCCCCCUCCCCCUUGGCUAGGCAUAUUCCAAGUUAUUUAUUUACUUGAGGCUAUUGUGAAAGGUGUUGAUUUCCUGAUUUCUUUCUCAGUCCUUUUAUCUUUGGCAUAUAGGAAGGCUACUAAGCCCAAACAUCUUUAUUCUUUUUAAUUUUAAAUGUAUGAGUGUUUUGCCUGCAUGGGACUGGAGUUAUGGGGAGUUGUUGGUCGCUAUGUGAGUGCAGGGAACCAAACCUGGCUCCUUUGGAAGAGGAGUAAGUACCCUUAACCACGGAGACAUCUUUCCAUAUAUAGCCCAGAUAUUUGUAAAUACCUCGCUAUGCAUCCAGACUCCUUUCUAUAUAGUUUUAAUAAAAAGAGAGGAUAUUAGGGUAUGAUCAGAAGACAGGGAGUCAGUGGGAUGGAAUUUUCCCCUUUCAAUGAUCAGAGUUUCAAACAUAUUUGUAUGUAGGAAGGAAUAAACCUAUGGAGGAAAAAUUAUAUGAAACCAACCUGGAAGUAUGAUGGAAAAUUAAAUGAGACCAAGCUGGAAGCUGAGAUCCCAGAGGACCCCAGAAAAAUGGAAUCAGAAGCAAUUUUGGAGAUCAUUGUCUUAUAUCCAGACAGAGACUCGAAUCUACAAGAAAGAAGGCCAACAUUUCAGAGACCAGAAAACGAGCUGAUACUACAGUCUUAAGUCGAAAGAGUCUGGAAAUCAUACUUCUUUUUGGUGGAUGCCAGUCUUUUCUUUCAAACCCUUCAGUUGACUCCAUGAAGGUUGCCCACAUCACGAAGGUUGUUACCUGGAGGUAUUGGCCAGAUUUAGACUGGAUCUUCUGACCUCAAAUGAUCCAGUCAAGAAAAUCCUUCAUGGGCAUGCCCAGUUGUUCGGGUACUAGUUGAUUUCAGAUUCAAGUCUACUACCAAGAUUAGCCAUCACAUCCCCCAGC
Alexandromys fortis (reed vole) is the source of this 983-nucleotide long non-coding RNA. RefSeq lists it as uncharacterized. The transcript is spliced from 3 exons. NCBI's taxonomy places the organism in Eukaryota, Metazoa, Chordata, Mammalia, Rodentia, Cricetidae. The record is from RefSeq and is a predicted model, not a curated record.